UGUGGUGUUGUUGGCUCGUGUCGUGAGAUGUUGGGUUAAGUCCCGCAACGAGCGCAACCCUUGUCAUUAGUUGCUACAUUCAGUUGGGCACUCUAAUGAGACUGCCGGUGACAAACCGGAGGAAGGUGGGGAUGACGUCAAGUCCUCAUGGCCCUUAUAGGUGGGGCUACACACGUCAUACAAUGGCUGGUACAAAGGGUUGCCAACCCGCGAGGGGGAGCUAAUCCCAUAAAACCAGUCGUAGUCCGGAUCGCAGUCUGCAACUCGACUGCGUGAAGUCGGAAUCGCUAGUAAUCGUGGAUCAGAAUGUCACGGUGAAUACGUUCCCGGGUCUUGUACACACCGCCCGUCACACCAUGGGAGCGGGUUCUGCCAGAAGUAGUUAGCUUAACCGCAAGGAGGGCGAUACCACGGCAGCUU
RNAcentral lists this ribosomal RNA (420 nucleotides) under bacterium 28S113. RNAcentral's name for it is "bacterial SSU rRNA". It matches the Rfam family "Bacterial small subunit ribosomal RNA", at positions 1046 to 1468 of the family's 1533-position model. The record is from RNAcentral.